GUUCUCCCUUGUGGAGAACAUAUACUAAAAUUGGAACGAUACAGAGAAGAUUAGCAUGGCCCCUGCGUAAGGAUGACGCAAUUAAUUUGACGGAUUUAAUUUUUUAAU
Molecule: small nuclear RNA, 108 nt
Organism: Contarinia nasturtii (swede midge)
Lineage: Eukaryota; Metazoa; Arthropoda; Insecta; Diptera; Cecidomyiidae
Source: RefSeq, a predicted model, not a curated record